AAUGAACGUUGGCGGCGUGGAUUAGGCAUGCAAGUCGAGCGAGAAGUUUUCAAAAGAUCCUUCGGGUGAUUUUGGAAAUGGACAGCGGCGAAAGGGAGAGUAACGCGUAGAUCACGUACCCCGAGGUUUGGGAUAGCGGCUGGAAACGGCCGGUAAUACCGAAUAAUGUCUCCGGACCAAAGAUUUAUCGCCUGGGGAGCGGUUUGCGUACUAUUACGCUUGUUGGUGGGGUAAAAGCCUACCAAGGCUAAGAUGGUUAGCGGGUGUGAGAGCAUGGCCCGUCUCACUGGGACUGAGACACUGCCCAGACACCUACGGGUGGCUGCAGUCGAGAAUCUUCCGCAAUGGGCGAAAGCCUGACGGAGCGACGCCGCGUGCGGGAUGAAGGCCUUCGGGUUGUAAACCGCUGUCAGUAGGGAGGAAAUUUUGACCGAUCUACAGAGGAAGCACAGGCUAAGUUCGUGCCAGCCGCCGCCGUAACAC
RNAcentral lists this ribosomal RNA (483 nucleotides) under uncultured bacterium. RNAcentral describes it as "bacterial SSU rRNA". It matches the Rfam family "Bacterial small subunit ribosomal RNA", at positions 29 to 526 of the family's 1533-position model. The record is from RNAcentral.